GAGGGUGUAGCUGAGUGGCAGAGUGCGUGCCUAGUAUGCACAAGGUUCCGGGUUUAAUCCCUAGCACCUCCA
This 72-nucleotide transfer RNA is filed under the name Camelus bactrianus (Bactrian camel). It matches the Rfam family "tRNA". Rfam says of the family: Transfer RNA (tRNA) molecules are approximately 80 nucleotides in length. Their secondary structure includes four short double-helical elements and three loops (D, anti-codon, and T loops). Lineage: Eukaryota; Metazoa; Chordata; Mammalia; Artiodactyla; Camelidae. The record is from Rfam by way of RNAcentral. RNAcentral also lists the same sequence under 2 other names.